RNAcentral lists this ribosomal RNA (618 nucleotides) under uncultured fungus. RNAcentral describes it as "eukaryotic LSU rRNA". The stretch from base 214 to 367 matches the Rfam family "5.8S ribosomal RNA". The record is from RNAcentral. Lineage: Eukaryota; Fungi.
AGUAAAAGUCGUAACAAGGUUUCCGUAGGUGAACCUGCGGAAGGAUCAUUAAAGAUUCGGGUUUCGGCCCUACCUCAUCGGCUGUGCGCUUCGGCUGCACGCCGUUGAAUAACUUCACCCCUGUGCACCUCUUCGGUCGUGGCGCUUCACGGCGUCGCUUCCGCUUUACAUUUAACAACGAACAGUCUGGAAUGUAAUAACUAUAAACAUACCAACUUUCAACAACGGAUCUCUUGGCUCUCGCAUCGAUGAAGAACGCAGCGAAAUGCGAUAAGUAAUGUGAAUUGCAGAAUUCAGUGAAUCAUCGAAUCUUUGAACGCAUCUUGCGCUCCAUGGUAUUCCGUGGAGCAUGCCUGUUUGAGUGUCACGUCAACCCUCACCCUCGCGAUGUCACAGUUGCAAGAGUGGAUUUGGACCGUGCCGUAGUCGGCUCGUCCUGAAAUGCAUUAGCUUGCGCUUUUAGAGUGCGGGGCAUCGGUGUGAUAAUUAUCUGCGCCAACGCCCUUACGCCUCUUCAGUGGUGUGGCUUCUAAUCGUCCCUCGAGGACACUUUUAAAGCUUUGGCCUCAAAUCAGGUAGGACUACCCGCUGAACUUAAGCAUAUCAAUAAGCGGAGGA